UACGUAGGGGGCAAGCGUUUGUCCGGAAUUAUUGGGCGUAAAGCGCGUGUAGGCGGCUCGAUAAGUCUGCUGUGAAAAGUCCAAGGCUCAACCUUGGAAUGCCGGUGGAUACUGUCGAGCUCGAGUCCGGAAGGGGCGAGUGGAAUUCCUGGUGUAGCGGUGAAAUGCGCAGAUAUCGGGAGGAACACCUAUGGCGAAAGCAGGCUUCUGGACCAAUCACUGACGUGAGCUGCGAAAGCUAGGGGAGCAAACAGG
RNAcentral lists this ribosomal RNA (255 nucleotides) under uncultured bacterium. RNAcentral's name for it is "partial 16S ribosomal RNA". It matches the Rfam family "Bacterial small subunit ribosomal RNA", at positions 524 to 776 of the family's 1533-position model. The record is from RNAcentral.